Molecule: long non-coding RNA, 355 nt
Filed under: Mus musculus (house mouse)
Lineage: Eukaryota; Metazoa; Chordata; Mammalia; Rodentia; Muridae
Description: long non-coding RNA chr13:104287341-104287696
Source: RNAcentral
GGGAGGGAGGGAGUUGGGGGUUGCAAAGCACUUCUCAGGUUGAUAGCCUUGGAUGUAUUGAACGGAUUUUUUUCUUUUCUUUUCUUUUUUUCUUUUCUUUUCUUUUUUUUUUUUUUUAACUGCCAAAUCGGAAAGUCUGUUCUUUAAAACUCCAGUUAGCGAGACUAUAGGGUUUUAUUCUGGCUGCAGAAUAACUGGCUGGUGUGGCUUUGCAAGGGGGGGCGGGCAGGCAAAAAGAAAAGACAGAAAAGAAUACGUGAGUCGUCCAGUGCAAUCUCUAUUGUUUGAAAUUUACUUUUUAUCAGAAUUUGAAGAUGAAAACGGUAAGGAAGACUUCACAAUAUUCAAUGAAACC